RNAcentral lists this ribosomal RNA (497 nucleotides) under uncultured bacterium. RNAcentral's name for it is "partial 16S ribosomal RNA". It matches the Rfam family "Bacterial small subunit ribosomal RNA", at positions 28 to 507 of the family's 1533-position model. The record is from RNAcentral.
GAUGAACGCUGGCGGCGUGCCUAAUACAUGCAAGUCGAGCGAACAGAUGAGGAGCUUGCUCCUCUGACGUUAGCGGCGGACGGGUGAGUAACACGUGGAUAACCUACCUAUAAGACUGGGAUAACUUCGGGAAACCGGAGCUAAUACCGGAUAAUAUAUUGAACCGCAUGGUUCAAUAGUGAAAGACGGUUUUGCUGUCACUUAUAGAUGGAUCCGCGCCGCAUUAGCUAGUUGGUAAGGUAACGGCUGACCAAGGCAACGAUGCGUAGCCGACCUGAGAGGGUGAUCGACCACACGGGAUCUGAGACACGGUCCAGACUCCUACGGGAGGCAGCAGUAGGGAAUCUUCCGCAAUGGGCGAAGGCCUGACGGCGCAACGCCGCUUGAGUGAUGAGGGUUUUCGGAUCGUAAAACUCUGUUAUUAGGGAAGAAGAAAUGUGUAAGUAACUAUGCACGUCUUGACGGUACCUAAUCAGAAAGCCACGGCUAACUACGUG